This 379-nucleotide ribosomal RNA is filed under the name Thelotrema lepadodes. Its description in RNAcentral is "SSU rRNA". It matches the Rfam family "Bacterial small subunit ribosomal RNA", at positions 362 to 758 of the family's 1533-position model. Lineage: Eukaryota; Fungi; Ascomycota; Lecanoromycetes; Ostropales; Graphidaceae. The record is from RNAcentral.
UAUUGGUCAAUGGCCUAACGGCUGAACCAGCAACUUGGAGGAAUGUAUAAAGAAAUUUACUCAUAUUAGCAAUAAGUAUGAGAUAACUAAGUUAAUUAAAAUUCUAUAUAAAUACUGAUUAUGACUAUAUUUAGAUAUGUCUUGACCAAAACACGUGCCAGCAGUCGCGGUAAGACGUGAAAGACAAGUGUUAUUCAUGUUUAACAGGUUUAAAGGGUACCUAGACGGUUAAUUAAACACUCCUAUGUAUUAAUUAACUAGAGUUUGAUGUGAGAAGGAUUGAGUACGGUAGUGGAGAGAUAAAAUUUUAUGAUACUGCUAUGGAACUGGUAAAGGCGAAGGCAACCUUCUAUGUAAAAACUGACGUUGAAGGACGAAG